GAUCAUUAUUGAAGUAAAUCUGAUAAGUUGUUGCUGGCUCUCUGGGGAGUAUUGUGCACGCUUGUCAUCUUUUAUCAUCUUUCACCUGUGCACUUUUUGUAGACUUUUGGAUAUCUCUCUGAUGCUUAUGCAGUCAGUUAUGAAGAUUGACUUUUGUUGUCUUUCUUUAUAUUUCCAGGUCUACGUUUCUUCAUAUACCCCAUGUAUGUUUAGAAUGUAAUAAAUGCGGGUCUUUGUGCCCCAUAGUCCUUUAUACAACUUUCAGCAACGGAUCUCUUGGCUCUCGCAUCGAUGAAGAACGCAGCGAAAUGCGAUAAGUAAUGUGAAUUGCAGAAUUCAGUGAAUCAUCGAAUCUUUGAACGCACCUUGCGCUCCUUGGUAUUCCGAGGAGCAUGCCUGUUUGAGUGUCAUUAAUAUAUCAACCUCGCUUUUUGAGUGUUGGAUGUGAGGGUUGCUGGACUCCUUUCGAGGUCAGCUCCUUUGAAAUAUAUUAGCAGAAAAAUUUGUGGACCUGUUCAUUGGUGUGAUACAUUUAUCUACACUAUCGACAUGAAGCAAGUUCUGCUUCUAACUGUCUUUCGACAAAUUUUAUUAAUGUGACCUCAAAUCAGGUAGG
Molecule: ribosomal RNA, 616 nt
Filed under: uncultured Cortinariaceae
Lineage: Eukaryota; Fungi; Basidiomycota; Agaricomycetes; Agaricales; Cortinariaceae
Description: eukaryotic LSU rRNA
Rfam family: 5.8S ribosomal RNA (bases 257-410)
Source: RNAcentral